This 657-nucleotide small RNA is filed under the name Bryhnia hultenii. Its description in RNAcentral is "eukaryotic LSU rRNA". The stretch from base 210 to 362 matches the Rfam family "5.8S ribosomal RNA". Lineage: Eukaryota; Viridiplantae; Streptophyta; Bryopsida; Hypnales; Brachytheciaceae. The record is from RNAcentral.
GCGCCUCGCGGCGUCGCGGCGCGCCGUCUCCCCCUCGUCACGCGAGCGCGAGCUUCGUGGCGUCGGGUUUCCACACGAUGCAUCACCUGAAUGACUGAGUCCCGAAUAGACUUGGAUGGAGGAGUGGGUGCGUUUCGUGCCCUCGAGCGAGCUCGGGGUGCGCGGCGCGCGCCGGUUACCUUACGACGAGUUGAAACUUAACAAAGAACAACUCUCAGCAACGGAUAUCUUGGCUCUUGCAACGAUGAAGAACGCAGCGAAAUGCGAUACGUAGUGUGAAUUGCAGAAUUCCGCGAAUCAUCGAGUCUUUGAACGCAAGUUGCGCCCGAGGCUUGUCCGAGGGCAUUUCCGCUAGAGCGUCACCGCGCCCCCCACCGAUCCGCUCCCGCCGCGAGGCGCGACGCGUGUCGAGUGGAAGUGGCCGUCCCUGCGAAGCGGCCUUCUUUCACGAGGAGUCCGCACUUGGCUAAGGGUCGGCUGAAAUGGAUGGAAUCGGGCCGCCGUGGUGACACAGUCCGCGAUCGGGUGAUUUCGUCGCGAGCCUCCUCCGUGAGGCUCUCGUUGAAUUUUUCUAAGUGCUUGGCUGCGUCCCCCAGUUGGCUCGGGUUACCUCAUGCAGGUCGAGCGCGCCCCCGCGGCGCGCGUCACGCAUCAGAC